This is a long non-coding RNA of Phyllostomus hastatus (greater spear-nosed bat), 1139 nucleotides long. RefSeq lists it as uncharacterized. The record is from RefSeq and is a predicted model, not a curated record. The transcript is spliced from 3 exons. NCBI's taxonomy places the organism in Eukaryota, Metazoa, Chordata, Mammalia, Chiroptera, Phyllostomidae.
CGGAGAGGAAGGAAGAAGGAAAACAACGAAGAGAAAUACAGAAAGGGUUGUAGACCACAUGUGGAGAAAAGGUUGCGGAGAAAAUUAACAGGAGACAGACAUUCCAAACACGCAAGAUGGGAAGGAAAGGGGAAUUGAAUUGUUUUUUCGUUUGGAUGGGGCGAGGUGGGGUUGUGGGUGACUGCUAUCACUGAAGGUGAAUUCGAAAAGCUAAAUAACGGUUCAGGCAAACUGGAGCGUUCCUAAGCCGGGCAAAGGAGGGGAAGCUGGGCGGACGCAACGCGGAGCCCGCAAGAGCGCGGGCGGUGGACCUUCACCCGCGCGACGGACGAGGCCGUCCCCUGCGCCCCCGGCCCGGUCAGCCCACCGCCCGCCAGGAAAACCCAGACCCUUCACUCAUCACCCCCGGCCGUGCUUAGUUUACAAGAAAGUUCUCCUGCUGCCCCUAGUGUGCAGCGUCCAGGGGCCCCUCUUGAGACUUCUGCAGCAUUAAGAUGAAAAAAGCCCUCAGAGGGAAAUGUUUUGCCGACGUGGAAGAGGUGGAAUGAAAGAUGGCAGAAGUACUGAAAGGCAUCAAUAUUGAUGAUUUCAAAAACUGUUUUGAGCAGUGGAAAAAAUGUCUCAAUAGGUGUAUUGUAUCACAUGAAGAACAUUUGAAGGAUCUCACACUGGAGCUCAGAUCCGUGAUCGCCCUAAAGACCUUUCCACGGACAGAUGAAAUGAGCACUGUCAGGGCUCCGCUGUCCAGUUUCACUGAAGUCCUUCUGCUGGGACUUUCCCCCUACACCUCCACAGCCUCUGUGUGACAGACACUCUUCAAGACUCUUUUUGAGGGGAGUUCACCGUGUGCCAGGCUGGAGAACACACGGAAGAGCCUGUGUAGGAGUGCCUGUGGAUGAUGACGGCAGAAAACUGCGGAUGUUUGUGACCUUCACUUUAUUGGACAUUUCCGGGGGUGGUCUGGGGGGCAGCUACUGAUGGGUGGUAUUUUCUUAGAAGAGCAGCAAUUGUCACUCCUUAGCUUAAACAGCAUGGGGAACUCAUUCACCGUCACCUUGAGAUAUGAGGGGAGGUGUGGGGGUGGCCUAUAAACAAAUGGCUUUGCCCUGGCUUCCCAGAGCAUCCCUAUGCCAGACAAA